RNAcentral lists this ribosomal RNA (460 nucleotides) under uncultured bacterium. Its description in RNAcentral is "partial 16S ribosomal RNA". It matches the Rfam family "Bacterial small subunit ribosomal RNA", at positions 338 to 795 of the family's 1533-position model. The record is from RNAcentral.
ACUACGGGAGGCAGCAGUGAGGAAUAUUGGUCAAUGGACGAGAGUCUGAACCAGCCAAGUAGCGUGAAGGAUGACUGCCCUAUGGGUUGUAAACUUCUUUUAUCUGGGAAUAAAACGUUCCACGUGUGGGAUUUUGUAUGUACCAUAUGAAUAAGAAUCGGCUAACUCCGUGCCAGCAGCCGCGGUAAUCCGGGUGAUCCGAGCGUUAUCCGGAUUUAGUGGGUUUAAAGGGAGCGUAGGUGGAUUGUUAAGGCAGUUGUGAAAGGUUGCGGCUCAAACGUAAAAUUGCAGUUGAAACUGGCAGUCGUGAGUACAGUAGAGGUGGGCGGAAUUCGUGGUGUAGCGGUGACAUGCUUAGAUAGCACGAAGAACGCCGAUUGCGAAGGCAGUUCACUGGACUGCAACUGACACUGAGGCUCGAAAGUGUGGGUAUCAAACAGGAUUAGAUACCCUUGUAGUC